Molecule: ribosomal RNA, 891 nt
Filed under: uncultured Macrococcus sp.
Lineage: Bacteria; Bacillati; Bacillota; Bacilli; Caryophanales; Staphylococcaceae
Description: bacterial SSU rRNA
Rfam family: Bacterial small subunit ribosomal RNA
Source: RNAcentral
GCCUAAUACAUGCAAGUCGAGCGAACGGACGAGAGUGCUUGCACUCUCUGAUGUUAGCGGCGGACGGGUGAGUAACACGUGGGUAACCUACCUAUAAGACUGGGAUAACUUCGGGAAACCGGAGCUAAUACCGGAUAAUAUUUAGCUUCGCAUGAAGCAAUAGUGAAAGACGGUUCUGCUGUCACUUAUAGAUGGACCCGCGGUGUAUUAGCUAGUUGGUGAGGUAACGGCUCACCAAGGCAACGAUACAUAGCCGACCUGAGAGGGUGAUCGGCCACACUGGGACUGAGACACGGCCCAGACUCCUACGGGAGGCAGCAGUAGGGAAUCUUCCGCAAUGGACGAAAGUCUGACGGAGCAACGCCGCGUGAGUGAAGAAGGUUUUCGGAUCGUAAAACUCUGUUGUAAGGGAAGAACAAGUACGUUAGUAACUGAACGUACCUUGACGGUACCUUACCAGAAAGCCACGGCUAACUACGUGCCAGCAGCCGCGGUAAUACGUAGGUGGCAAGCGUUAUCCGGAAUUAUUGGGCGUAAAGCGCGCGUAGGCGGUCUCUUAAGUCUGAUGUGAAAGCCCCCGGCUCAACCGGGGAGGGUCAUUGGAAACUGGGAGACUUGAGUGCAGAAGAGGAGAGUGGAAUUCCAUGUGUAGCGGUGAAAUGCGCAGAGAUAUGGAGGAACACCAGUGGCGAAGGCGGCUUUCUGGUCUGUAACUGACGCUGAGGUGCGAAAGCGUGGGGAUCAAACAGGAUUAGAUACCCUGGUAGUCCACGCCGUAAACGAUGAGUGCUAAGUGUUGGGGGGUUUCCGCCCCUCAGUGCUGCAGCUAACGCAUUAAGCACUCCGCCUGGGGAGUACGGUCGCAAGACUGAAACUCAAAGGAAUUGACGG